This 461-nucleotide long non-coding RNA is filed under the name Mus pahari (shrew mouse). RNAcentral describes it as "lncRNA (MGP_PahariEiJ_G0003949.1)". Lineage: Eukaryota; Metazoa; Chordata; Mammalia; Rodentia; Muridae. The record is from RNAcentral.
AGGGCAGGGAGAGCCCCUAGGCGAUGGAGGACGGACGCUCCCUGGACCUCUGGGCGGCUCUCCAGCUCCCGAGACCUUCCUCCUUCAGCCGGCCGCGCCGAUGACCACGGCUCCUCCGGCGUCCCCGGCCGCAGCUCCGCUGCCUCCGCUGCCCGGCUCGCCCGGGAAACUUUCCCAGGCUCCUCCGAGAAACGCUGCCGCCAGCACUCUCCGGCCCGAGAGACAGCCGUCAGCGACCCGGAUGGAGCGGGAGGGGAAGGGCUGGCGGUUCCGGAACAGUGUUGGCUCACGUUUUCAGCUAACUCCUUGGAAGAUAUGAGGUUAAAUUACCCAAACUCUUACACUCAGAGAAAAACAGGGCUUACAGCUACAGUUCCUGCUUCAUGAAAACUAAAUCCAGAUUUCACAGGCCAAUUUUAACAUCAUCUUGAUACUAAAUCUGUCUGUUGUGUCUCAAAAAA